AGAGGUUUGAUCCUGGCUCAGAAUCAACGCUGGCGGCGUGCCUCAGACAUGCAAGUCGAACGAUUAAACUUUCCUUCGGGAAAGAUAUAAAGUGGCGCACGGGUGAGUAACACGUAAGUAAUCUACCUUUGAGUGGGGAAUAACCCGGGGAAACCCGAGCUAAUACCGCAUAAUGCAGCGGCACCGCAAGGUGACAGUUGUUAAAGGAGCAAUCCGCUUAAAGAGGAGCUUGCGGCAGAUUAGCUAGUUGGUAAGGUAAUGGCUUACCAAGGCUACGAUCUGUAACCGGUCUAAGAGGACGGUCGGUCACACUGACACUGAAUAACGGGUCAGACUCCUACGGGAGGCAGCAGUCGGGAAUUUUGGGCAAUGGGCGAAAGCCUGACCCAGCAACGCCGCGUGAAGGAUGAAGUAUUUCGGUAUGUAAACUUCGAAAGAAUAGGAAGAAUAAAUGACGGUACUAUUUAUAAGGUCCGGCUAACUACGUGCCAGCAGCCGCGGUAAUACGUAGGGACCAAGCGUUGUUCGGAUUUACUGGGCGUAAAGGGCGCGUAGGCGGCAAUUCAAGUCAUCUGUGAAAUCUCCGGGCUUAACUCGGAACGGUCAGAUGAUACUGCUUUGCUAGAGUGCAGAAGGGGCAAUCGGAAUUCUUGGUGUAGCGGUG
Molecule: ribosomal RNA, 664 nt
Filed under: uncultured bacterium
Lineage: Bacteria
Description: bacterial SSU rRNA
Rfam family: Bacterial small subunit ribosomal RNA
Source: RNAcentral